GUUUAUUUUGUAUGUGCUCACAAUGAGGUUUCUGGAGGCUUAGUUUCUUCCCUGCAGGUGGUCCAGCUUUCCUAGGACCACAAGCGUAUUUUUCAUGCCCCUCUUUCCCCACAUGAGUUCAUUCCAUGCUCACAAAGCGGUCUCGUCUGUGCCUGACGCCAUGCUUCUUCCACGACUUCCUCAUUUCUUCCCCCGCUAUUCCUCUUUUCCUUUUGUGCCCAAAGCCUGGCUUCUUCAGUGCCCGAACUCUGGUUUCCCUUGACCCCACUGCCCGAUUUCUCCCAUGACCACACCUUCUCUUCACGUAGAAUCGCGGUUUCUUUCCCACGCCAGGAGCCGAGCUUCUCUCGUGAUCUUCAGUUUGGGGGGCCGUAGCUUCCUUGUGGGCACACUCGUUUUCAGAGGUGGAUAUGGUCAUUUCCUUAAGACUACACUCCUCCAUUUUGGGGGAAGAGAGAGUAACUUGAGAGUGAAAGAGGAGGGACAAUCCAUCUGCUCCUGUGGCUUCCAUCUUUAACCACCCCUCUCCUCCCUAGCAGUUUUCACUGUGUUUUCAUAGACGGCAACAGCAGCUCUUAGAAAGUUCCAGUAACCAGUGUGACAUCAGAGGGCAUCAUCAGGUUCUAUUAUGACACUGGGUGACCCCACUGCUUUCCCCUUUCUCCUCAUAACAGUUGAUUUUUGCCCUCCCCCAGCCUCCCCUUUACCUCAUUUCUUCAGGGGGGUCCUAAAUCCAAUUGACAAGCAUUCAUAGAGGUUUUGGGGCAGCCAGGUGGCCCAGUGGAUAGAGUGCCAGGCCUGGAUUCAGGAAGGCUCACCUUCUUGAGUUCAAAUCUGGCUUUAGAUGUUACUGUUAUUAGCUAUGUGACCCUCAACAAGUCCCUUGACUCUGUUUACCUCAUUUGUAAAAUGGGAGUCUUUAAACCGCUAUGAACAAAAAUGAGUCUUGGAGACUUGCUCCUAAAUUUAGGAGUAUUUAUUAGUAGAGAGAAAGAAGGAGAGAGAUGAGGUUUCCAGCCUUUCUAACUUCCCCAAACUAAGGCCCCAGCCAGUCCUAGAUUCUCCAUGGGCCCUGGUCCAUUUCCCAAGCAGCAGGCAGGGCCCAGCUACCCAGUCCUGAUAAAUUAAGGCCAGCCAAGGACUGGGCUUGAGUUCAGGAAGGGCCUGAGCUCCUGGAUUCCAGCCUGCCAAGGUCCCCACCAUGAUGCUGGCCAGAGAUGGUUUACAUAGAUGAGCCGGACAGUUGGGAGAGAGAGGGGUCCUUUUAUAAGGCCAACAGUGUGACCAAGAGCCCCUUUAGACUUCUCAAGCUCAGUCUAAGCCAUUCCCUCUGGGAUCCCUCAGUUGGCCCAAGGCUUCACCUCAGUCCCCGUAUGCCACAUCCCCUGACUUCUAUGAUUUCCACAGGUCAGGAAUCACCUGUGCCACCCUGGCUGACCAAGACACGUGACUCCUGUGGAUACUUAUUGUGGAGAGCCUUCUGAGAUUGGACUGGAUUGGAAGUUCUCCAGCCUGCCUCACAACCCCAGCAUUCUGAAAGCCCUUCCAUCCGGCUGAGCUGUGCCCACCCUCCGGCAGAUGCGGCUCUCUCCCUUUGUACCGGUCCAAUGAAAUGACAUCAUCAAACAUUUAGUAAGUACCUCUUAAGUUCCAGGUCCUGUGCUAAGCUCUGAAGACACAUAAAAUUGGGAAAGACUCCACAGGCACGUGGUCACCUGAGGAGCUAAUGGAAGGCCUGAGAUACUGCUUACUUCCAGAGCUGGACCCUCACAUCUUCCAAGUUCUGCCCUCAUUCCCUGUGCUUCCUUAGGGAAGCCAGAGAUAAUCCAAACCCAAAGGGAUUGCCAUUCCUGGAGCCAUUUACAUUUUCCAAAGGGCUUUCCUUAUACAGCAAUCCCGUGAGGCAGAUUCUUCCAUUGUUAUUGUUACAGAAAAGGAAACCAAGGUUCUGAGACCUUAAAUGCCUUCCAACUGGCAAAUAUUUGAGGCAGAACUCAAAACAAAGGGCUCCUGAAUCCAAGUUCAGUUUUCUUUUGUUUUUUAAUCUUUACUUUCUGUCCAAGAUGGUAAGGGCUUGGCAAUGGGGGCAAAGUGACACGUCCAGUCACCCAGCUAGGAAACAUCCAUCUAGCUGCCUCUCAAAUCUCAUUUUCUUUCCAUUGCUGUACAACCUGAAGACAGCGGUUGAUGAAUCAAUGAUCUCUCUGAUGGAACAACUUCUGUCUUUGACACAGAUUCUAACCCUUUUGUGGUCCUCUGGCUUCUCAACCUCUUGAGCUUUGUUGGCCUCAGUCUCCUCAUCUGUAAAAUGAGGACAGUGAUGGCACCUGCCUCAAAUUUGAUCAAAUCAGAUGGCUUUAGCUGCUGCCACUCCUCUCUCGGACCCAGGAUUCCUGUGCGUCCUGCCUGCCCUGGCUGUGAGUUACUGGCAAGCCCGAGGUAAGUGGCACCGCGAUGGCCACUGGGAGGUUAUCCCGGAAGCUCUAAUGAGAACAGUAAGGAACGGUUUUCCAAAUGAAAGCCGCAAGCAGGAAACCAAUGUGGUCCCAUAGCAACUCUUGGGCCCCAGAUGAAUAGACGCCAUUUCUAUAGGGGUUUUGCCACCAGGCACCUCCCAUUGUUAGCUCUCUCCAUCCCCACAAGAACCAGGCCCGGGAAGUAUAUCCUAUCACCUGUUCGUGCCCAUUUUCCAGAUUGGCAUUGGAGUCUGACAAAGUUAUGGGACUGACCUAAGGUCACACGGUUGGUAGGUGCUAGAAGCCGGCUUUGAACCCUUGCUUGGUGUCAGACUCCAAACAUAGUGUGCUCUACCCGCUUUCCCUCUCCGCCUCCCACUGUGUAGUUUCAGAUUCCCACGGACACCCGGGUGAGAGAGGGGAGAUGGGACUCAGAAAAGAGUAAAAACCAACAUAUUGAAGAAUCAAGAGUGAUCUUUGUAGAGAGGAUAGCUGGAACCAUGGGAACUUGGGAAAUCACCAGAAAAGUGAGCAUGCGGAGAGAAAGAGAAUAAGCAUUUCUAGAGUGCCUGCUGUAUACCAGAGACUAUGCUCAGCACUUUUACAAAUAUUAUCUCACCAGGACAGCUGGGUGGCUCAGUGGAUUGAGAGUCAGGCCUAGAGAGGGAGGUCCUGGGUUCCAAUCUGGCCUCAGACACGUCCCAGCUGUGGGACCCUGGGCAAGUCACUUGACCCCCAUUGCCUAGCCCUUACCACUCUUCUGCCUUGGAGCCAAUACACAGUAUUGAUUCUAGGACAGAAUGGAAGGGUUUAAAAAACCCAGCAAAUAUUAUCUCAUUUGAUCCUCACAAUAACCUGUUUUUACUCCCCAUGAAUCUGACAAGUGACUUGCCCAGUAAAUGUGAGGCCUGAUUUGCACAGGGAUCUUCCCGACACCAGAACCAGCACUUUAUUCACUGGGUCACAUGGGGCCUCAGAAGAGGUUCUGCCAGAGUUCUGAGAUCCAUCCGAACCUAGGAGGUGGGUAACAGGUGAUCCCGCAAAGACAACAGAAGAUGAUUCAUCAUGCUGGUAAGACAAGGACCAUUACAAAGCAGAAUCGAGAAAACUCAUUUCCUCCUGUAACAAAGAGAGGAAGAAUAUACUUUUUAACCCUUCCUUUCCAUCUUAGAAUGAAUAUCAGGUAUUGGUUUCAAGGCAGAAGAGCAGUAAGGGCGAGGCAUUGAGGGUCAAGUGACUUGCCCAGGGUCACACAGCCAGGAAGUAUCUGAGGUCAGAUUUGAACCUAGGACUUUCCGUCUCUAGGCCUGGCUCUCAAUCCACUGAGCCACCCAGCUGCCUCCAAUACUGUGCAUUGGUUCCAAGGCAGAAGAGCAGUAAGGGCUAGGCAAUGGCAGUGAAGUGACCCACCCAGGGUCUCACAGGUAGGAAGUGUCUGAGGGCAGAUUGGAACCCAGGACCUCCUGUCUCUUGGACUGGCCCUCUAUCCACUGAGCCAUCCAGCUGUCCCCCUUACAUAAACUUUUAAAAAGAAAGAAGGUACUAUGUCAAAUUCCUAAAAUAAAAAUGUCUUGAUACCCAAAUUAGAGGAAAAUCAAAGCAAGAAGCACUAACAAAUCAAUGGUACUAACACAGAUUGGUAAAAAUAUUCAAUAAAACUUAAGCAAAGAAACUGAGGUAAUAUAGAAAACAAUGGGAAGUAUGUAAAUGGAUAUUAUUCAUCUUCAACACAGCAAAUAUAAACAUAUCUAAAACCAAAAUCUGGUCUAUUCUCUCAAAACAAUUAUGGAAAACAAUGCCAAAGAGGGAUUGUAACUGAUCUCGCAGGCCCGAGUACCCUCUCCCUAUUCACAUCAGAUAUUGCUGUUAACCAGAAUUUUGUCACCAUUCAAUGCUGCAUUCACUGACAGCUGAAGUUGGCGUGUAUGUUGUUCUUUGUGUUUGCUGUCUUCUCGUGUUUCUUUGCAUCCUCUGCAUCCACUGUUCCAGAGAAUGUUGGAAUAACCUAUUACGUUUACAUGCCACAAUUAAUUGAACCAUUCCCUGUCUUUAGGCACGCCAUUUGUUUCUCCCUUUUUGCUAAUAUAGCCAGUACCACUAUAGAGAUUUUUGGACACAGGGACCUUUUCCUUCCUCCAGUAACCUCUUUGGGGAAUCAAGUCAAUAAGAGAAUCUCCAAGUCAUCCAAAGGCAUGGUGAAUUCGUAAUUCUUACCAAAAUGUUCCAAUGAACAGUGAAUUGGAACCGUGCCGUCAUGUCCCUUUCCCACCUUCUUUUCCCAUACUUCCUGGGAACUGGAGCGUCAGCAAUAUCAAGAAGUCAUGAUUUUUCAUUCGGUUGUGUUCUGCUACUUGGUUGAACCGAGCUCUCCAUCAUAUUGUUUGGUUGUUUCUCUGUAGUUUUCCAUGUAAACCAUGAUAGCAUUUUCGCAGAGAGAUCAUUUUAUCUGCCCUUCGCCAAUUAUUGUUCUGCCUGGAUAACCAACAUUUCUGGCACUUUGUGAAUAAUAAAGGUGAUGAUGGGCAUCUCAGCUCCAUUCCUGUCUCUGUGUUGGACCAUUGCAGAUAAUACCAAUAGUCGGUGGAGAUGCCUUAGAUGCAUUUUUCUCACAUUCAACAAAAGGCCUUUUGUUCCUGUGAUUAUUAGUGUUUGGGCAUCAACGACUGUACUUCAUAUGUAGCUUUUUGGAGAUACAUCUACGUAAUCAUUGCCAUAGCUUAUUGCGUUUGUUAUCAUUAAUAUAAUUUAAUAAGGUAACUGGUUUCCUUAUGUUAAGUCAUUCUCAAAUUCCUAGAAUAACUCCGACUUGGUCAAAAGAAAAGGAAUUCUUUUUUCUAUAUUAUUUUAGUUUCUUUGCCUGUAUUUUAUUGAAUAUUUCCCACCAAUUGAUGGUAGUACUAUUGCUUUAUAAUUCCCUUCUUGCUUUGCUUUUUCCUUAAUUUGGGUAGCAGGACAAUGUUUUUAUUGUAGAAGUUUGGUAUAGUGCCUUCUUUAUUUCCAAGUUUAUGUAGCAUAGAGAAUGAUUUGUCUUGGAGCUCUUCGUUAGAAGUCACAUUUAGCAUUUGGUCUCUUUCCUCCCUUAUGGAAAUUAAUUUUGUUCUGUUUUUCCUUCUCAAAGCAGGUGCUUUAUGUUAUUGGUUUCCCGUUCUGCUGAUGUGAGUAGCUGAUGAUUCUGUAGCUCUUCUUCCAUUUCAUUUAAAUGUUCAGUCUUGUUGGCUUACACAAGAGCAUAAACACUUCUGACAGUUUUCUUCCUUCACCUUCUACUGGUUGUCAUUUCCUUCCUCUCAUUUCUUAUUUUAAUAAUUUGGUCCUCUUCUUCUCUCUCUUUUUAAAAUUAAAUUAGCUAAUAGUUUUCCAUCAUAUCCUCAAAACCAGUCCUUUGUUUUGUUGAUUUCUUUGAUUUUAAAUUUAUUUCACGCUUGGUUUUCAAAAUUCCCACUUUGGGGCCUCUUUGGGGAUGAGUAAUGUCUAAAUUUUGAAUUGUUUAAAUGUUAGAGUCACUUCAUUAACCUUCUGUUUCUCUUGUUUGAAGCUAAGUGGUUAGGGAUAUACAUUUACCAUUAUAUUUGGAUAAAUUGAUUUUAUUUACAUAAAGAUUGCUUUAGCUAUAUCCCAUAAAGGUUAAUAAUAACAACAGUAAUAAUAGCUGGCCUUUAUAUCAUGCAUUAAGAUUUGCAAAAUACUGUGCAGAUAUUACCUGUUUGAUGCUCAUAAAAACCCUUUGAUUAAGUAGUAUUAUUAUAUAUGCCUUUGAAUUAAGUAUUAUCAUAAUUGCCUUUGAAUUAAGUGGUAUUAUUAUAUAUAUGCCUUUGAAUUAAACAUUAUUAUAUAUGCUUUUGAAUUAAGUAUUAUCAUAUAUGCCUUUGAAUUAAAUAUUAU
Molecule: non-coding RNA, 6338 nt
Organism: Monodelphis domestica (gray short-tailed opossum)
Lineage: Eukaryota; Metazoa; Chordata; Mammalia; Didelphimorphia; Didelphidae
Source: RefSeq, a predicted model, not a curated record